Molecule: long non-coding RNA, 955 nt
Organism: Wyeomyia smithii (pitcher-plant mosquito)
Lineage: Eukaryota; Metazoa; Arthropoda; Insecta; Diptera; Culicidae
Exons: 3
Source: RefSeq, a predicted model, not a curated record
CGAUUAGCAAUGGCUUGUGGUCAGUGAGUGAAUCGUCGACCCAACAAGUACUUGUGGAACUUUGUUACGCCAUAGGUCAGCGCGAGUGCUACCUUUUCGGACUUUCCAUAAGCUUGUUCUGCCUGGGCGAGCGAUCUCGAUGCGUGCUGAAUUGCCUUCAUGUGUCCAUUGGCAAAUUCGUGGAAGAUCACUGCACCGAUGCCCGUGCUGGAAGUGCCCGCCACUACGAUGAUUGAGAAACGACGCUUGCAUAUGUCACACUCAAAAUUCUGGUCUUCUUUAUGAGCGCGCUUAUGGUACUGCAAACGUACAGCUGUGUGGAAUGUGGUGCUGCAGAUAUCACAGGCAAAAGGUCGUUCCCCGAUUUCACAAAUGUGCUUUUUCGGUGGUUGAUCAACUAUAAUUGUUUUGCGCUUUAUCGGCUUACUGCAACAGAAUGAAAAAAAUAUUCUUAAAAAAUAAAUAAAUAAUGUUGCUCGUCGUUGCCACUGGUUUUGAUACAAAACUUUUGAAAUAUGUACUGAAAAUCGAGGUUGUUAAUCGAUAAUUUAUCGUAAACGCCGAUAACGAUACCGUCUGUUAUCGUUAUCGACGAUGACGCUUACGUCUUCAGACAUUAUCGUCAUUGUCAAUGACGAUAGCUACUGGACGGUAUCGAAUCAAUAACGUUUGUUUAUUACCAUCCACUGCAAUACCAUCUUUUGCUUUAUUAGUUAUAUCAUUUAGAUACAUUUCAAAUGCAAAUAUGACAAUGCUACAUACCUUACUAUUCGAAUUUGUGCUUUAAAAAGCGCCUCAUAAGCUAGAACAAUCAAAACUGAGAAAUUUAUUUUCCUGAUGAGAAGCGAAACAUAAACAAAUAAGGAUAAGUUUCUUCCUGUUGCCUAGUGAUGUUUCGUCCAGGGGGAAUCUAUCUGUCAAAUAUCGUGAAACCGUGACCAACACAUUUGGCAAC